RNAcentral lists this ribosomal RNA (617 nucleotides) under Microcystis aeruginosa LEGE 00239. RNAcentral's name for it is "bacterial SSU rRNA". It matches the Rfam family "Bacterial small subunit ribosomal RNA", at positions 98 to 749 of the family's 1533-position model. Lineage: Bacteria; Bacillati; Cyanobacteriota; Cyanophyceae; Chroococcales; Microcystaceae. The record is from RNAcentral.
UCGGACGGGUGAGUAACGCGUGAGAAUCUAACUUCAGGACGGGGACAACAGUUGGAAACGACUGCUAAUACCCGAUGUGCCGCAAGGUGAAAACUAAUUGGCCUGAAGAAGAGCUUGCGUCUGAUUAGCUAGUUGGUGGGGUAAGAGCCUACCAAGGCGACGAUCAGUAGCUGGUCUGAGAGGAUGAGCAGCCACACUGGGACUGAGACACGGCCCAGACUCCUACGGGAGGCAGCAGUGGGGAAUUUUCCGCAAUGGGCGAAAGCCUGACGGAGCAACGCCGCGUGAGGGAGGAAGGUCUUUGGAUUGUAAACCUCUUUUCUCAAGGAAGAAGUUCUGACGGUACUUGAGGAAUCAGCCUCGGCUAACUCCGUGCCAGCAGCCGCGGUAAUACGGGGGAGGCAAGCGUUAUCCGGAAUUAUUGGGCGUAAAGCGUCCGCAGGUGGUCAGCCAAGUCUGCCGUCAAAUCAGGUUGCUUAACGACCUAAAGGCGGUGGAAACUGGCAGACUAGAGAGCAGUAGGGGUAGCAGGAAUUCCCAGUGUAGCGGUGAAAUGCGUAGAGAUUGGGAAGAACAUCGGUGGCGAAAGCGUGCUACUGGGCUGUAUCUGACACUCA